RNAcentral lists this ribosomal RNA (520 nucleotides) under uncultured Lactobacillus sp. Its description in RNAcentral is "bacterial SSU rRNA". It matches the Rfam family "Bacterial small subunit ribosomal RNA", at positions 39 to 524 of the family's 1533-position model. The record is from RNAcentral. Lineage: Bacteria; Bacillati; Bacillota; Bacilli; Lactobacillales; Lactobacillaceae.
CGAGCGCACUGGCCCAACUGAUAUGACGUGCUUGCACUGAAUUGACGUUUGGAUUCCCAGUGAGCGGCGGACGGGGUGAGUAACACGUGGGCAACCUGCCCUGAAGCGGGGGGAUAACAUCUGGAAACAGGUGCUAAUACCGCAUAACAACGAAAACCACAUGGUUUUCGUUUCAAAGAUGGUUUCGGCUAUCACUUCAGGAUGGGCCCGCGGUGCAUUAGCUAGUUGGUAAGGUAACGGCUUACCAAGGCGAUGAUGCAUAGCCCGAGUUGAGAGACUGAUCGGGCCACAAUGGGAACUGAGACACGGGGUCCAUACUCCUACGGGGGGAGGGGCAGCAGUAGGGGGAAUCUUCCACAAUGGACGCAAGUCUGAUGGAGCAACGCCGCGUGAGUGAAGAAGGUUUUCGGAUCGUAAAGCUCUGUUGUUGGUGAAAAAGGAUAGAGGUAGUAACUGGCCUUUAUUUGACGGUAAUCAACCAGAAAGUCACGGCUAACUACGUGCCAGCAGCCGCGGUAAU